CAUAGAGCUCAACAGUGUGAUUCCAGAAGUAAAAAUCCUGUUGAUUUUCUCCAUAAGGAUUUGAUUAUCAGCCAUAAUGUCAAAACCAUCCGAGGCAGACUGACCACGAGCUGUGAGGUUGUAUAACGAAAGUUUCUGCUCUUGUAGAAGCCAGAAGUCCGUAUGAAAUCAACCUUGUUGUU
This is a long non-coding RNA of Sander lucioperca (pikeperch), 182 nucleotides long. RefSeq lists it as uncharacterized. NCBI's taxonomy places the organism in Eukaryota, Metazoa, Chordata, Actinopteri, Perciformes, Percidae. The record is from RefSeq and is a predicted model, not a curated record. The transcript is spliced from 2 exons.